UCUAAGUUGCCUUAGUUGUCUAUUUAGAGUCCUCAACUGAAUGUUAGUAACUAAAUACGAGGGUUGCGUUCGUUAUAGCACUUAAGCAUACGCUUCACAGCACGAACUGACGACGACCAUGCACCACCUGUGUCGGGAUAACCUCUGCUGAGUUUCCUCAACAUUGCCCUCCAUGUCAAACCUUGGUAAGGUUCUGCGCGUCGUAUCGAAUUAAACCACAUGCUCCACCGCUUGUGCGGGUCCCCGUCAAUUCCUUUGAGUUUUAGCCUUGCGGCCGUAGUACUCAGGCGGAGCAUUUAAAGCGUUAGCUGCGACACUAAGCAUAACACCUAAUAUCUAAUGCUCAUCGUUUAGGGCGUGGACUAC
RNAcentral lists this unclassified non-coding RNA (366 nucleotides) under uncultured bacterium. RNAcentral describes it as "contains 16S-23S intergenic spacer region". The record is from RNAcentral.